This is a long non-coding RNA of Rosa chinensis, 263 nucleotides long. RefSeq lists it as uncharacterized. The transcript has 3 exons. The record is from RefSeq and is a predicted model, not a curated record. Lineage: Eukaryota; Viridiplantae; Streptophyta; Magnoliopsida; Rosales; Rosaceae.
AAGCUUUAUGUAGUGACAUAUGAACUAUGAAGAUAAGGAUGGCGACUGGAUGUUAGUUGGAGAGGUUCCUUGGAAAAUGCUUAAGGAAUCAUGCAAGCGUAUCAGGAAUACAAAGUUCAUGCAUUACGUCCGAUCAUAUCUAGUUAUGGGAACUGUCGAUCCAUUCCAGAAAGCAUGAGCUAGCUAGAGGAUGAUUGAUAUGAACCAAGUACGUACUAAAGGAUCCAGCUGAUCAUGAGGAUCAUAUAUCAGCGUGCUUGUAU